UUUGGCAAACCCGUGCGAAAGCCGGGGACGCAAAGCCACCGGGCUGACGGAUGCUCACGACGUGAAUAUCCAAGCUAGCGGGGUUGCCG
Molecule: non-coding RNA, 89 nt
Filed under: uncultured Azonexus sp.
Lineage: Bacteria; Pseudomonadati; Pseudomonadota; Betaproteobacteria; Rhodocyclales; Azonexaceae
Description: Cyclic di-GMP-I riboswitch
Rfam family: c-di-GMP-I riboswitch aptamer
About the family: GEMM was predicted in a large-scale screen for bacterial structured RNA regulatory elements. Genes associated with GEMM are involved in a diverse array of functions, including chemotaxis regulation, signal transduction, secretion and chitin.
Source: RNAcentral